RNAcentral lists this non-coding RNA (23 nucleotides) under Arabidopsis thaliana (thale cress). Lineage: Eukaryota; Viridiplantae; Streptophyta; Magnoliopsida; Brassicales; Brassicaceae. The record is from RNAcentral.
UGGAUUCCCAAAGCACCGAUGCC